AAAAAAAUAAAUAAAAAUUACAUUCAAAAAAAAAAAAGAUUCUUCUAAUAUUAUUUGUAAAGAGAACAUGAAAAAGAAAGUGAGGUAGCCCUCUUUCCAUCCAUCAAAACAAAAUAAUCCAUGUUAAUGAAACAUCUAAAUCCAAAUCCCAUUGAAUGAAUUAUCUGUGUAACCUCAUUUGAAACCAAAGAACAGCUUAACAUAAUUUCUGUGACCUGCAUUUCCCUUAAUUAAUUGAUGUCGGACAACCAUUUCUGAUAUAGUCCACAAUUCACUAAUUAAACUGGCCCAUCACUGGGGAAGUCACUGGGUUUCUCAGGGCCUUCUCUGCCUAUCGUUAAAACAGCAGCUACUUACUCGGCUUCCUGUGAGGGUUCUGUGGGUUACAAUGGGAAGAGCUCAGAACACUACCUGGCCCAUGAUAAGCACACUAGGCACACUAGCAAGUAGAAACCAUAUGUCAGUUCCAUCGACUUUCUACUACAUUUGUACUAUGAUUAAAACAGGAUCUGUGUUGAUAAUACUUGGUUCUACAUUCAUGUCUCUGUAUUGAAACCACAUUGCUGAUUGGCCUGUGACAUUUAAUCAAAUAUAAGUAAACUGUACAUUUGAUUAAAUAGAUGGCUUAAACACUUGUCUUAACCUGUGUUCAUGUCCUACUUUCUACCUGUUUGGGGUCCCCUCAUGAUUAUCAAUCUUUGGUAAUACAGUAAUGUUCUUUUAAAUAAAAUAAAUGCAUUUAUAUAUUUAUUUAUUUUUAAUGAUUUUUAUUUUUUUCCAUUAUAACUGGUUUACAGUGGUCUGUCAAUUUUCUACUGUACAGCAAGGUGACCCAGUCACACAUACAUACAUACCUUCUUUUUUCUCACAUUAUCAUGCUCCAUCAUGAGUGACUAGAUAUAGCUCCCACAUUUAUAUAUUUAAUGACACCUUGACACACAAAAGUUACAUGUGCACAUACAGGCAGCAGUAUGUUGAAAAUGUUCUAUGAACAAAACAAUGAAAAACCAAAACAUUAGGAGUUGCUCUAUAUAAUGAAAAAAAAAGUUUAAUGAAGUAGGAUGUUUCUAACUCAAUCUCCUUCACAUCCUUGAUUCACAUCUUUUGAGCACUUCUGACAAAAUUCAUUUUGUGGUAUCUGAUGGGAUCAUUUAAUCAAGUUUCCUUUUCGGAGAUAAUAAUCAUUUUCCUUAACUAAUAUACAAGGUGGCACAAAAUGUCUUUGCAAUUGUUACAAGAUUCAAUUAAAAGCAGAUGAGUUGAAAGAAAGUUUUAUUUCGCUAUAUACAUUAUGGCCCAGGAUAUAAAAUAUGAAUGCUUUGAAAAGAAAAUGUGAUUCAGUCUCAAAUUCAAAUCAAAGAGAAUUUAGACAUGAUCAGGACAUACUUCAAUUCCUGCCCAAAUAAUUUACUCAGAGUUUAAAUUGAUUUAAUACAUGUAAAGGACAAGAACCAUGUCUUACCACAAAUAAUACUAAAUGUUUGUUUUUCCUUUCCUCUCUACCCCUUAAGAUAAUUUAUAUUAAUCUCUGCUUCGAAACACUGUGAAACCCUUCUGUCAUAAGACCUCGUCGUGAUGUAUAAGCAAAUGAUCAGGUAUAUUGUUUUCAUGAUCAGCCCGUGAAAGUGGUAGGAAAUAGGACCCUUAAUCAACAGAGACCUGAGUAAAAGUAAUGCCUUAAUUAAAAACACUGAAGUAGAAAUACCACUGUAAGACGAGAUCAAAUUUGUGAGAAUAAACAGGUAAAAAAUAAAAGCCUCUUAUUUUCCUUCCCUUAAACAAGGAAGGGUCAAGGAGUAAGUAAGCAUAUGGCUCCUGGGUGGCAUUCCUGGGCCCCAUGGGACUUGAGGAUGCCACUACGGCAGAACAUCCAUGGGGCUGCAGCCAGCGCUACAGAUAGCACUUGGCUCAGGGGUUGACCAGCUUUGAUGAUAAGCACUGUGCUGUGAAAGAAGAAAGGUUUGGUUUUGUUUUCCUUUUAAAAAUAAGGAUGAAAAAAACUGAAAGAUGGGAAACAGAUGAAAUAUAUGAACACACAGUAUAAUUUAAAGCAAUAGCCACUGGCAUUUAGGAUAUGUUAAAAUCAAAAUACACUUAAAAGAUAACAGCAGUAUAUAACAAAAGGCUAAGAUUUUAUAUUUUCAUAAGAUACUUUAAAAGAGAAAGUUCUAAACAGACCUUGAUCUAUAGUAUAAAUAUGUCAGUAAACAAGUUCAAAAAAGUAAUAGCUUACCUGUUGGGCAAUAAAUGUUCUAUGAAAUUUCUGAACAUUUUGAAGCAGCAGCAAUAAUAUCUAACUUCUUUAUUAGAGAAAAGUUUUAAUGUUCCAAAGCAUGUAGCUUCAAAGAAAAUCUAAGAUCAAGAUUCCACUGGGAGUUCCCGUUGUGGCGCAGUGGUUAACGAAUCCGACUAGGAACCAUGAGGUUGCGGGUUUGAUCCCUGCCCUUGCUCAGUGGGUUGAUGAUCCGGCGUUGCCAUGAGCUGUGGUGUAGGUUGCAGACGCGGCUCGGAUCCCGCGUUGCUGUGGCUCUGGCGUAGGCCAGAGGCUACAGCUCCAAUUCGACCCCUAGCCUGGGAAUCUCCAUAUGCCGCGGGAGCUGCCCAAGAAAUAGCAAAAAGACAAAUAAAUAAAUAAAUAAAUAAAAGAUUCCAUUGGGUUAAUAAAACAAAAUCUACUAUUAUAUCCUUACCUAAUUUGUCUAACAUGUUUAAUUUAAAUCAAAGGAAUUUUACAUUUCCAUUCCAUUCAAAUAUAAUAGCCUGAGUAACCACCAUGUUGUUUUCAAAAUACAUUAGUUUAAAACCACCUUCUAUUUUCACACUCAAUCUUAAAGCCUAGGAAACAGAUUAUUUUAUGGACUGUAAUAAAACUGCUAUAAAAAGGAAAAAUUAGAAAUCUAGAACAAAUAGCUUUUUUAGUGACAAAUAAGUGAAAGAAACCAUGAGAUAAACUGCUUCCUCCAGCCCUGGUUCUCUAUUCUAAUUCAAGCCACCAAUUCAAUAAUUACGACACAGGAAUUUCUUCGAAGAUAUUCUUUUAUACUUUAGGUAAAGACUUCAAAGUCUCAGUUUUCAUAUAAGGCACUGUGACACUGACAGCCAGCAGACAUCCAGUCCUUUAGGUGGAAACCUCAAAACUUCAAAUGUAUGACUUCUGCUUAUGAAACUUAUGUAACUGGCACCAGAAGGGCCAAAACCGUUGGAUUAAAUAAAAGAAGCAAAGUUCUCAAAUUAAUCAAUUCUAAAUCAAGUCAAUAUUUUUUAAUACUUCCAAAAGUAGCAACGGCAAACAAUUCUACAGACGGUGGCACCACAAUCUCAACCUUGCGUGAAGACAUGUACUUAAAAUGUUCGGGAAAGAGACUAUAUACAUUUAUAGGAUAUGAUUAAAUUCCAUUUAGCCAUUAUUAAAUGGCUUCUUUCUUCUCUCCCUUGGCUCUUUUUGGAUGGAAAGGUAGAAGUGUAACUGUGACUAGAACAAAAAAUAUAUUUCUACCAAUUGGAGACUCCCAAGAAUCAUUCACGAUGUACCAAACAAUGCCUAGGCAACGUAAUGCAUGGACUUACCACAAUUUGCAAACUUUACUGUUAACUUUUCUGGUUGUGUCUAGUUUUUCUGCAUCUUAAGCUAGCAAUGGAAGUUUCAGUGGAAACAUCUAUAUCUUGAUGGCAAAGAGUCACAGAAUAAAAAGAGUAAAAGGAAGGAAGACUGUCUAUGUAACUAAUUUCACAAACAUGUAUAAUUUUAUAAAUUAAAGUUUAUUUAUCCCUUACAUCUAGAUGCUGUAAACAGUGGAGAAUGACCUAAAUGAUUUGAUCUUCAAAAGUAAACUAUGAGGUGUAUUUAAUGGAAGCAGCCUGAUUUUAUUUGCUAUAUUCUCUUUAAGGCAAUUCUGGCAAAGUCAGCUGACUCAAAGUCAACACCUGUACAGAAAAUAACACGUAUCUGUCACUUUGCUUCCAAAAUGAAAGAGAACGGCAUAGCUAAAACUCCUAAUUACCAACCCCAAGUCAAAUACUAUGUUUUCGUUCCUAUGGUCGCACUAAUGUGAAAUUCUGCUCAUCACAGACCUUUUCCCUAAAGCUAACAACUUCACUAAGCAGUUAAGUAGAAUAUACAAGUUUGAAUUGAAAUCUAAAGGCCAAUAACCAAAAACAGGAGAAGACACAUUUCAUCAGCAAUCUGCAAGCACCUGCCCUCCCCAGGCACAUAUUUACCUGUGCCACAGCACAGAGAAGAAACACAGCUGAGAAACCAGAGCCCUCUCUUUUCAACAAGAGUCUUGGCUCCAAUGCUAAUUCCUCGAACACACUAACUCAAAAGAUCUCUACGAGGUAGAGACUGGCAAUAUUUUUUCACUUUAACUAUUUUCAAAGAAUACCCAAGAUGCCAACAGAAAUCAUACUUAGAUGUUUUCAAUUAAAAAAACAUAAUGCUCUCACAGUAAAUCUCUCAAAACUGAAACUCAUCAAUUCCUAAUGCUGUUUCUACAAGCCAAGAAACAGCCUUGCGAAUUUUAUAAAAAAUUAUGUUUUAAAAUCACUGUAAUUCUAAAUUUUGCUUUUCUAGCAUUCGGAUGGACCAGAAAAAUCAAGUCCCGCAUAGUGCAUUUUUCAGCAUUGCACUCAGGUUGCUUGGACAUCACAACGCACAUCACUUGGCCUUCUGUACCUAUGGAAAUCGCCACGCCACUGGCUCUAAAUGGAGACGGCCUGACCUCCGUGACCAUCUCAACCUCACUAAACACAACACACCCACCUGACAAGGUGUGCACCUUCCCAGGAGCACUUUGAAAGCACAAGCAACUCCAAGCAAACAAAACACUGACUCAGGAGAGACAGCUUUGGUGACUGCCAGCACUGCCUUGACCUCUCUUUGCAUGGCUAGAUAGAGGCUUAUAGUAGAAACAGACAUACGAUUCAUAAAUCAAUGCUCAGUUCUUUCUCCAUAGAAGAAAAAUCAGAAAGACGAAUAUCAGUGUAAAAAUAAUGAGCAAGGAGAUAUGCAGUUAAACAUGCAUUGACGUUCUUCUCCCAGGCCAACAAUCUUUAGUAGGCAUUCUUUAUAUUUCCAACAGCACUCCACAUAGACUAGCAUGAUGGAAAUAAUUAAUAUUCUGAAAGAACAGAGAGUCAGAAGGAAGGAGGGAAUGGCCUGAAGGUAAAGGGAAGGAGGGAAGAGGAAAGAAAGUUAAGGGUGCUGAAUAAAUGUAGUCUUAACGGUGAAAACUAAACCAAUCUGUUUACAUGAAUGUGUGCAUAAAAAGGGAGGAAAAAUGGAAUGGUAAAAAUGCUUGCAAAACUGGCCUGUCCCACAAACAGUUUCAAAAUGUGGCUCUGUGUCAAUAACACCCACUGGAAGAUAAUUUCAACCUACCAGGAAGCCUAUUUUGUGCUGACUGCAGCAGUCUACCCUAUGUGCAAGAGCAGAGGGGCUGACCCAGGGGGGCGAGGAUUAGGACUCUAGUUUGAAUAGCUAAAUGACUGAGGGCAUUUUGUCAACUGUCAAAAUAUUUAUUUUCCAAAUCACAGUGCCUACCAUGCUGACAUCUGAAGGAAAUACCACAAAAAUAGCAAUACAAUUAAGUGUUGGCAGAUUUUUGCCUAAAGCAAAAGAUACAUUUAAAUGUUCUACAUUUUUGUUUAGAAUAAUACCAGUUUUCAGGGGACAGCGCUCAAAGCCUCGGAUUUAUAGCUCAACUCAAGCUGCCUGUCAUUGUGGGAAUUUACACAUCUCCUGGUUAAAUCAGAUACCUAAUCACAAAUCUCACAUCUCACGUAAACAAAGAAGAAAUGCAAAAUCCAAUGCAUAGUCAUUUGAAAUGUACUUUUAACUAUGUCAUAGCCAAUAUGGACAUAUCCAAUAUGGACAGAAUUUCUGUUUUCAUACACUUAAUACAAUGCUUAGUAUUGAAAAACACUGCAUACAUAACAAAAUGUAUUAGUAUCACCAGAAGUAUAUUUUACUGUAUUAUACUGUGGAGAACUCUCUACCAAGGGCAUCUGAACAAUUCUUCACACACCCACCCCAGCUGUGCUCUCAGAUACCGCUAACACACAGAAAUAAACUUACAGGCAAAUUCAAAAUAUAUAUGAAUCCACAGUGAGUCCAGUUUUCCACAGUAAAAGGAAAAUUACAUUUCGAGGCUUACUGUCCAACAGAUUUAUCUAACACUUGCUCCUAUUUUGACUAUCAAUUCUACAAAAAUUUUAUUGGCUAACUCUGAAAAUACUAAAAAUGUGAGACUGCAAUGGAAACACUGUUGCAGCUUUAGAUUAAGAAGCAUAGGUCUCAGAGUUCCCAUUGUGGCUCAGUGGUUAACGAAUCCGACUAGGAACCAUGAGGUUGCGGGUUCGAUCCCCGGUCUUGCUCAGUGGGUUAAGGAUCUGGCGUUGCCAUGAGCUGUGGUGUUGGUUGCAGACGUGGCUCGAAUCCCGAGUUGCUGUGGCUCUGGCGUAGGUCAGUAGGUACAGCACCGAUUCGACCCCUAGCCUGGGAACCUCCAUAUGCUGUGGAAGCGGCCCAAGAAAUGGCAAAAAGACAAAAGAAAAGAAAAAAAAAAAAAAAGAAGCAUAGGUCAAUCUGUUAAAUAGAUUUUGUCUUUUUAAAUUCAAACUACAGAAUUCCCUAACCAUGUACUCAAAUCUGGACUUUGUACUUAAACUCACAAAUACAAUCCUUUAGGAAAGCAUGAAGUAGUAUCCUUAAUCAUGAUUUCCAACCAACAUUUUAAGAUAUUACAACGACAUCGCCUUCAAGAAUAUUUUGUGCACAAUACUAAUCAUUUAG
Molecule: long non-coding RNA, 6790 nt
Filed under: Sus scrofa (pig)
Lineage: Eukaryota; Metazoa; Chordata; Mammalia; Artiodactyla; Suidae
Description: lncRNA (ENSSSCG00015060107.1)
Source: RNAcentral